GUUUUAAUAGUUUAAUUUUAAAACAUUGGUCUUGUAAACCAAAAUUGAAAUUUCGAAUUUCUUAAAACUUCGUUAUAAUAUAACGAUAUUUUAUAUUUAAUUUUACCUAUUAUUAUUAUAUUUUCACUCUCUUUUAUACGAGUUGCUCACCCUCUUUCUGCCGGGUUAGUUUUACUUAUUCAAACAACACUAGUAGCAAUCGCUUCAGGGACACUAAAUAAAACUUUUUGAUUUUCUUAUAUUUUAUUUUUAAUUUUCUUAGGAGGUAUAUUAGUUUUAUUCAUUUAUGUUGCCUCCUUAGCUUCAAAUGAACAAUUUUCUAUUGACUUAGUUUUCUUUUUAAUUUCUCUUAUCAUUAUUUGUUUCGUCUCACUAUUAUUAAUUACAUUAGACCCUAUUAUCCUGUCAAACAAAAUAACUAUACUUUAUUCUUCCUUAAUAAAUGAAUAUAAAUUUAAUUCAAACUCAUUAUUUAAUAGUCCUAUUUAUAACGCACCAACAGCGUUUUUCACUUUUUUCAUUAUUAGUUAUUUAUUACUCGCUUUAUUAGUAGUAGUAAAAAUUAUAAAAUCUUCUUCUAGACCACUUCGUCUUAUAACUUAUGAAAAUACCCGUACGAAAAACACACCCUCUAAUUAAAAUUAUCAAUGGAGCAUUAGUUGAUAUACCAUUACCUAGAAAUAUUUCAACAUUUUGAAACUUUGGAUCAUUACUUGGCUUAUGUUUAGUUAUCCAAAUUGUAACAGGUUUAUUUUUAUCAAUACACUAUACAGCUCAUGUUGAUUUAGCUUUCUCUUCAGUUGCCCACAUUCAUCGAGAUGUCAAUUAUGGUUGAUUAAUUCGAUCUAUACAUGCUAAUGGGGCUUCAUUCUUCUUUGUUUGUUUAUAUCUUCAUAUUGGACGAGGAAUUUAUUAUGGAUCCUACGUAAACAUUCCAGCAUGAAUAAUUGGAGUUAUUAUUUUAUUUUUAGUAAUAGCAACCGCAUUUUUAGGUUAUGUUUUACCAUGAGGACAAAUAUCUUUUUGAGGUGCUACAGUAAUUACUAAUCUCUUUUCAGCUAUUCCCUAC
This 1069-nucleotide transfer RNA is filed under the name Pagurus japonicus. RNAcentral describes it as "tRNA-Thr". The stretch from base 1 to 69 matches the Rfam family "tRNA". Lineage: Eukaryota; Metazoa; Arthropoda; Malacostraca; Decapoda; Paguridae. The record is from RNAcentral.